AUGCGCGGCCAUGUGCUUAGAAUAAUUUCGUGGAGCGCGUGGGUCUUAGACAUCGUUCUGAUGCUAUCGGGCAAGCAAAUUUACUUCAUCGCACGGAAAUUUGGUUUGGAUUAUCAGAUACAAUCACUUGAAGAAAGUGCUGAAGUACUAAGAGAGAGGUGCUUGAAGUUUCAUAAAGGUUGCCGCAAGUAUACUGAAGGGCUAGGUGAAGCCUAUGAUGGAGAUAUUGCAUUUGCAAGUGCACUUGAGACAUUUGGAGGAGGCCACAAUGAUCCAAUCAGUGUUGCUUUCGGCGGACCUGUCAUGAACAAAUUUACAAUUGCCCUGAGAGAAAUAGGAACGUAUAAGGAAGUCCUGCGCUCCCAGGUUGAGCAUAUGCUAAAUGACAGAUUGCUAAACUUUGUAGAUGUUGAUUUGCAUGACGUUAAGGAUGCCAGGAAGCGUUUUGACAAGGCUAGCCUCGUGUAUGACCAGAUUCGCGAGAAAUACUUAUCAUUGAAGAAAGGCACAAGAGCAGACAUAACAACUGCCAUUGAAGAAGAGCUCCAUAGUGCUAGGUCUUCAUUUGAGCAAGCUCGUUUUAACCUGGUAACUGCAAUUUCGCAUAUCGAGGCAAAGAAGAGAUUUGAAUUUUUGGAGGCUGUUAGUGCGACAAUGGAUUCACACCUCCGAUAUUUUAAACAAGGGUAUGAACUAUUGCAUCAGAUGGAACCCUAUAUUAAUCAGGUUCUGGCCUAUUCGCAGCAAUCAAGAGAGAGGGCAAACAAGGAACAAGCUUCUCUUUUAGAGAGGAUGCAUGAGUACAAAAAGCAGAUAGAGCGUGAUAGUCGGUCAUCUGGGAAUGGUUUAAAUGAUUCCCCUAAUGUAGAUGGCAUACAAACAAUCGGUAGAAGUUCACAUAAAAUGAUUGAAGCAGUGAUGCAGUCAUCCACAAAAGGCAAGGUUCAGACCAUUCGUCAAGGUUACCUCUCAAAGAGAUCAUCAAACUUGAGAGGUGACUGGAAAAGAAGGUUUUUUGUUCUGGAUAGUCGAGGGAUGUUGUACUACUAUCGCAAGCAAAUUAAUAGGCCAGCUGGUGUUUCUCAAGUUCAAAGAACCAACAAUACCCCUGAACAUGGUUCAGGGUUGCUGAGCAGAUUGUUCUCUUCUCAUUACCAUGGUAUACAUGAUGAAAAAUCUGUUGCACGGCAUACAGUAAAUUUGCUGACAUCAACCAUUAAAGUCGAUGCAGAACAAUCAGAUCUGAGGUUCUGCUUCAGAAUUAUUUCACCCAUGAAGAUCUACACAUUGCAGGCAGAGAGUGCUCUAGAUCAGAUGGAUUGGAUCGAAAAAAUUACUGGUGUCAUUGCAUCUUUGCUGAACGCACAAUCCCCAGAACAGUGUCUGCACAGCCCUAGGAGCUGCGGUCAUGAUCGGAGCGCUAGUGAGAGUAGCUCCUAUACUAGUUCAGUGGAACUGGAAACUUCCACAAGUGAAGAUUUAACACUGGAAAAGAAUGCUGGAAAUGGACAACAUCAUCACAGGACCCAUAUCAAACCCGAAAAACCAAUUGACUUGCUUAGGAGGGUUGAUGGUAAUACUAUUUGUGCCGAUUGUGGUGCUGCGGAACCUGAUUGGGCGUCGUUAAACCUCGGUGCUCUUCUGUGCAUAGAGUGUUCUGGAGUACACAGAAAUCUAGGAGUGCAUAUAUCGAAGGUAAGGUCUCUGACUCUCGAUGUCAGAGUCUGGGAGCCAUCUGUAAUCAAUCUCUUUCAAUCAUUAGGCAACAUGUUUGUGAACAGAGUUUGGGAAGAAACAUUACCUUCAUCAAACAAUGGCUCUUCUGUUGAUAAUACAAGUACUAAUGGAUCACAGGCAGCACAAUACUUAACCACCAGCAAGCCUAAACACUCAGAUCCUUUCUCUGCCAAAGAGAAGUUUAUUCAUGCCAAGUAUGCUGACAAGGAAUUUGUACGGAGGCAUAGUAUCGAUGAGAUUCACAUAGCUCAGCAGAUGUGGGACAGUGUAACUGCAAAUGACAAGAAAGGAGUAUACAGUCUCAUUGUGGCAUCACAUGCCAAUGUAAAUUUGGUUUAUGGGCAGAUGGCUUCUGGUUUGUUACUGAAUCUUGGAAAAGCACUUAUACAAGAGCAGCCAACUUCACCAGCUGAUGGAAGCCCUAGAUUUUUCGACUGCAAUUCACAUGAGAAGGUUUCUCCUAGAGAGUCGCUUUCUCCUCCCAGCACAAGUUCACAUGUAGAUGAGUUGGAUGAUAGAUAUGAGGGUUUCUCCUUGCUUCAUCUUGCAUGCCGUGUUGCAGAUGUGGGGAUGGUUGAAUUACUUUUGCAGUAUGGUGCUAGUGUAAAUGUGUCUGAUUCAAGAGGUCGGAUGCCCCUUCAUCACUGUAUUUUGAAAGGAAGACAUCUGCAUGCAAAGCUUCUGCUCUCCAGGGGAGCUGACACACAUGCCAUAGACCGAGAUGGCAGAUCAGCAUUGCAGUAUGCAAUGGACCGUUCCACAAGUGACGAAGGCAUGCUUGCGUUGUUAGAGGAGCACUUCAGAUAA
Molecule: ribosomal RNA, 2544 nt
Filed under: Triticum aestivum (bread wheat)
Lineage: Eukaryota; Viridiplantae; Streptophyta; Magnoliopsida; Poales; Poaceae
Description: partial small subunit ribosomal RNA
Source: RNAcentral